AUGACAUUCUGGCGGCAGGGCCGCUGCAUCCGGUGGGAAGGCCUUGGGGGCGCCGCGCCGGCCGUGCCGCACCUACAGUUGGCCGCCGCGUCCUCAGAGGCCGAGCACCCCCUACUGGAUCCUCUUCUGCAGCAGCACAAUGACAUCUUCGACGAGCCGCGAGGUCUUCCGCCUGCCCGGGUGUACGACCAUCGUAUUCACCUCGUACCGGGCUCCACUCCGGUAGCGGUGCGGCCCUAUCGCUACCCACAGUUGCAGAAGGAUGAGCUGGAGCGCCAGUGUGCCCUGAUGCUCGCCGCAGGCAUCAUCCGCAUCUCCACGUCACCCUUCUCGGCGCCGGUGCUUCUCGUCCGUAAGUCCGACGGCACAUGGCGCUUCUGCAUCGACUACCGCGCCCUCAACGCGCUCAUGCUCAAGGACAAGUUCCCUAUACCGGUGGUCGACGAGCUCUUGGAUGAGCUCCAUGGGGCACGCUUCUUCACCAAGCUCGAUCUCCGGUCGGGCUAUCAUCAGGUGCGCAUGCAUCCGGACGACAUCGCCAAG
Molecule: ribosomal RNA, 543 nt
Filed under: Triticum aestivum (bread wheat)
Lineage: Eukaryota; Viridiplantae; Streptophyta; Magnoliopsida; Poales; Poaceae
Description: partial small subunit ribosomal RNA
Source: RNAcentral